RNAcentral lists this unclassified non-coding RNA (1074 nucleotides) under Bombus terrestris (buff-tailed bumblebee). RNAcentral's name for it is "misc RNA ENSBTSG00005037999.1". Lineage: Eukaryota; Metazoa; Arthropoda; Insecta; Hymenoptera; Apidae. The record is from RNAcentral.
CGUUUUAAGUGGCUCCUCCUCUAUCGCUGGACCCUGUUUUGCCGUAUAAGAAGCGUCUUACAUCGUUCUCCUGUUUCAUCGAGUUUUCUGACAAGCAGGUUUAAAUGUGCCUGGACUUGAGCAAGAAAAAUACCAUAUUUUUCAAGUUUUAAAUGCAUCGACGAAGUGUAACAAGGUGGUCCUGAGAUUUCUGGUUCGAUUAACGGGCCGGCUAUGGAUCAACGCGCCAGGUCCAAGGUGGAGGUCGCUUUUUUGUCCUUUUCAGCACACGGCAAUACGUCACGCGUCCCGGUUUCGGGGAGUAAUUAAAGAGAGCGCAGAACAGCAUGACGCCUCGGGCCUGUCUGGGGAUUGCAAAGAACGGAAAUCGGAAAGGACGUUCCUGAAAGUUUCACACUGAUAUCUGUGAGGAACGCGACCCUAAAGGGUUGCACAGAGGGGGUUGCAAAGUCGGGUAUGUACAAAGAGGGACGAAGAGAGGAGGGGAUAGUAAGAAGGGACCGUACUCGGACCAGCCGACUACGAACCGAGCCAUUGGAUCGAUAAUGUCAUAGUGACAAGUAGCAGCACGUAAGGCAAAUUAGUUUUUGAAACGGCAAGCCGGCCGACGCCUUAUUCCCACGGCCAACUAAUAACUUCUGAUUGACAAUUUCAUUAUGUCAAUUGAGAUAAGACGGAGUAGCAUCUGCACGGGAAAUACGGUGAAAACUAACGUCAGUCUGGCGUGAGUUCUUACCAGAGAGAACGCAGAGCGCAGUAAAUCCUGAAACGAACCCGGAAUAAACUGUCCAUGCUACGGCUAUAAUAAUAUGCCUUCGUCGACGUCGCCGCUAGAUUGUUACGGGUUGUUGGAAUUGCCUCGCCGAAAACCAGUCCGCUUCGCGGUGUUCUUGGAUUACGAUGCAAUUUCUCCAGACUCAUGGGAUUGCACUGAUGACGGCCCUUAAAACUCGACAGCCCCUUCUGCUACGCUUUCUCACCCGGAAUUACGUGUAGACGCGUGUGUCGAUAAAUUCGAUGAUCUUCAGACUGUUUCCGUUAUCACGUUGACCAGAAAUUUUCCAUAACGUUUGU